RNAcentral lists this long non-coding RNA (4336 nucleotides) under Sus scrofa (pig). Its description in RNAcentral is "lncRNA (ENSSSCG00000061004.1, ENSSSCG00130037956.1, ENSSSCG00160040744.1)". The record is from RNAcentral. Lineage: Eukaryota; Metazoa; Chordata; Mammalia; Artiodactyla; Suidae.
UGCACCCUCAGCAUAUGGAGGGUCCCAGGCUAGGGGUGGAAUUGGAGCUGCAGCUGCCAGCCUACGCCACAGCCACAGCAACUCGGGAUCUGAGCCAUGUCUGUGACCUACACCAUGGCUCACCAGCAACACCAGAUCCCCGACCAGGGAUGGAACCCGCAUCUCAUGAAUACUAGUCGGACUCGUUUCCACUGUGCCACAAUGGGAACUUCCUGUCAUCUUUUUUUCUUGCUGGUUAAGUCUUAUUUUUUCUUAACUAAAUUCCACUGUCCAAUGGGGUGGCUACUAGCUACAAGAAGCCAUUUAAAUUUAGUUAAAAUCAAUGAACAUGCAGUUCCUUGGUAACACUCGCUACCUUUUAAGUGCUCAACAGUCAGGUAUGCCCACUGGCUACCUUACUGGGUGACACAGAGAACAUUUCCAUAAUCACAAAGCUCUACUAGCCGGUGGUGCUCCAAGGGCACCAUCAUUAACACAAGAAUGCAGGAGGAUUUGAAUAAUGUCUCCUGAGAGGGAUGGUUAGAAGGAAGGGCAGAGGGGGGAAGGGACUGCUAUUCUUACUCUCAUAACUUAGAACACUGCAGGAGAGCUACACAAUGGAACCCUGCUAUCUGGAGAUGAGAUAGCUUCUAGGGUCAAGAUUUCUCCUGAAGUAUUAAAGACCAGCAUGCAAAUCACAUGCCUAUAAAUUAAUAGCUGUGAAGACUAAUAAAGGAAAUACUAUAUGGUAUGGCACAGACUCCCUGCAUUUAAACACUUUAUUUUAUUUGUCUUUUUAGGGAUGCACCCACGGCAUCUGGAGGUUCCCUGGCUAGGGGUCAAAUCAGAGCUGUAGCUGUUGGCCUACGCCAGAGCCACAGCCACCCCAGAUCUAAGCUGCAUAUGCAACCUACAGUACAGCUCAUAGCAAAAAUGGAUCCUUUACCCACUGAGUGAGACCAGGGAUCGAACCUGUGUCCUUUUGGAUACUAGUCAGAUUUGUUUCCACUGAGCCACGACAGGAACUCUCUGAUGAGGCCAGUCAGCAUCCUAACAAGGUUGCUAAGUCUUGCAAAACAGUCACAGAAAAAGUAUUCAGCAGGCAAGGAAAGAGGUAAAAUUCCAACAGGGGUUCUUGGUCCCAUAAGAGAAUUACUGACACUGUGGAAAACAGGCACGAAGGGCUGGUAGCAAAAGGGAAUUGAAACACAGGUAACUGAUAACAGCCCAGACACCUAGAAUCCUACCUAGAGGGGGCCAGACAGGCCAAAGAAUAACCUGCCAGAGAAGCAGACCACAAGCCAAUGGGAGGAAAGCUUCGGAAUCCGGGCAGACCAGCUGAAACCACAUGUACUUGCUCCAGAGAAGGCAAGGUUAUCGCAGGAGAUGAAUUCCACUGGAAUCACAUGCGAGCACCCACACAAUUUCUGUGGCUUCCAAUGCCAAUCCCACAUGGCUGAAUCACAUAGGUCUGUCUCAUACCCUUCCUUCCUCUCCCACAACUAAAUAGUCUUAUUCCUUAACAGUGCAAGUGCUACAGUUCUUUCUUUUGGUGACAAUACUGGAUGUCUCUGUUUCUGACUUUCGAAUGGAGAAUAGUGGUAUUUCCAGCUAGUCAUUUCCAAUUCUUUUCAGAUAACACUAUUUGACAUCAUUUCACCCUAAAAAAGAGAUGGGGGAACAGGUAGGCUUAGGGGUUAGUGGUAGGGUGAGGAGUUACCAGUGAGUGGCGGCCAAGGUCAGCCACCGGCUUAGUGACAUUUGCAUUUCCAAGGGCCUCACAUCUAAUAUGACUCAAGUGUACACCUCAGCAAGAAUGCCAAUCUGCAGAUAGGUUUUUAGAGUGGCUCUCAAUUAGAAAUGUUAAAUCCUUAAAGGCCAAGAAUCCACAGUAAUUCAGUGACCAGAGAGAAUUACUGAAUUACUAUGGAUUCUUGGCAUUUAAGGAUGAGAGAGGAGAGGAAGGUACCACUGAAAUGAACGAGCUGGCAAGAGUCCCAGGUUAAAGGACAUAGUCACUCUCUCCCACUAAUUAAAAAUUCUCUUUACCAGAAGAGUUUGUAAAACUCUAUGGUUGGUUAAAGGUCUUCAAAAAAUCAGUGGUUCUUUUGUUCCAAAUCUCUUAUCAUGAGACAGGAAACAUUUUUAAAUUCCUGCAAGAUUGCCAAGACGAGAAUUAUCUUGCGCUCCUAGUUCUAAAAAUGAUGGUAUACAACAAUUGCACUUUGUUGAAAAUGAAAAAAAAAAAUCAGAGCUCAAAAUCUAAAAUUCUAUGUAUUUCAUGACAAUCAAAACUCUUGAGUUCUCGGGAGUUCCUGUCAUGGCGCAGCAGAAACAAAACCAACUAGUAUCCAUGAGGAUGCGGGUUCAAUCCCUGGCCUUGAUCAGUGGGUUAAGGAUGCGGCAUUGCCGUGAGCUGUGGUGUAGGUCGCAAUGCUGCUCGGAUCUGGUGUUGCUGCGGCUGUGGCACAGGCUGGCAGCUGAAGCUCCAAUACAACCCCUAGCCUGAGAACUUCCAUAUGCUAUGGGUACGGCCCUAAAAAGCAGAAAGCAAAAAAAAAAAAAAAAAAAACACAAGACCAAACAAAAAACAACUCUGACUUCUCACAAUAAAGUGAGGUCUGGGUUUCUGGGUGGAGUCUGUAGUUUAUCCAGAAAUCUGGGUUUCAGGAAACAGGGACUCAAAGGGACUAUCAGGCCCUCCAGGAAGAUACUCCCCAAGUGACUUCUGUGGUCCCAGAUCUGAAUCUCACUCACCAAGCACGAUGGGGAGCAUGACCCAAUGAGCCAGAGUGCCAAGGGUGCCCAGCCACUUGGAGAGGGUACAUGACAGCAAAACUGCUACGAAACUCAUUCCAAUGCCACGUAUUGAUUUUACAGAGAGAAAACGGCCUGUGGCCUGGAUCUGAAGGCUCAGGGCUGGCAUCCUGACUCUGUAGGCAGGAUGAAAAGAUUCAAAUUACCACCAGUCAGAGGGCUUCAUUUGAUCACCCAAACACACGUUGUUCAUCUAUGCAACAGGGAGACCUUGCUGCUGCCUUGCUGUAUUGUACUCCAUGACAGCCCUUCAGGGAGCAGCACCCAACAGAACCGUCUCCGGACUUCCAUUUCCUGCACUCCUGACAGCCCAUCCCCCCUUACCUUCCCAGCCGCUAUCCUCACGGCACAACACACAAAGCUUCCCCUCCACAGAUGGUGACCAAAUUCCAACCCUGCCUCUGGGAGACGACAGCCAAGUCGUUGCCACCACCGGGACUGCGCAUGUUCCCAAACUGCCAGCCACACACAUGCACACCAUUUCUUCGUUUGCUCCCAAAAGACCUCCUUCGCAGCUAGCUGAAUCCUUGGAUGGUAACUAUUUCUAACCCCUGGGUAGGUAGGACAAGCUUUUAACAUCGCUAUCCACUGCUGGGCUACAACCACCGCCUCCUGGUGCUAACGCUCACUAAGGAUGGGAGAGUUGGUCUAUGUUGGAAGAAGAACCAACAUGAGCACCAAGGCCCCCAAACAGGAACAGGAAUGACAGCCGUCCAUCCAGGCUCUCCAGACUGGUUCCGCCAAAUCAUAUCUCGUGAUGGCUGAGAGACACUGCAGGGCAUCUCGGGGAAAUGACAGACAUCAGAGACUGGUAAAGGUACCAAGGUUGAGAGAAGUUGUGAAUUACCAUAUAAAUUGUACAGACUGGGCUCACGGCAGUUCCUCCCUUCGUCGGCACCACCAAUUUGCUAUUUUUGCUCAGAUCUCCUGACUACUUGUCCUUUAGGUGGUGGCUUAGGUAAGCACAUUUUCUGAAAAUGUCUUGUCAGGGUUCCUAGACUCAUUAAGUCCUCCUCCAGUAAGCUCCCACAGGACCCUGCAUUUCUCUUCCCACCCUAUUUGGUCGCUGGCUUUUUAAAUGAGCUCUCAUGGCCAAAGACAAGGCUCUCAGAGGACAGAGGCUGGACAGAUCUCAAGAAGUGACAAGAAGAAGGGUCCAUGGGCAGCUGCUCAAGGCCAGAGAGGCAAAAGGCAACUGCUCCCUUGCUUAGGACUGUUCUCCUAGACUCUAGCAAAACGCUGAGCACACCAAUGCACCAGGGAGGGGGGAUGAAUAAAUGAUAUUCAUCCAAAGCAAAGCUCUAGAGUGAAUCCCUAAAGACGUUAUGGUCAUUUAGCAAAGGACAGUCAACAGCGAGAACAAAAGACAUGCACACUUAUUCCCCUUUCCGAUACGGUGAAAAGCACCAGGGCACUGCUUACUGGUGCACGUGGACACUGGCCAGCCUUCAGCCAACACACGCAGUACUGUUCUAGACAAGAUGAUGACAUGAAGGUGAGCGGAUGCUGAAGUGAGCUGGGGCUGUGCUGUGCCCGGCUG